Molecule: non-coding RNA, 235 nt
Organism: Desulfuromonadales bacterium C00003093
Lineage: Bacteria; Pseudomonadati; Thermodesulfobacteriota; Desulfuromonadia; Desulfuromonadales
Source: Rfam
AAAGUCCCGCCCAAGGAGUUGUCCGUGCACCUUGGUAGCACAAGGGAGCGGCGUCUGAGUAACCAGGGGUCGUAAGUUCCCAACUGGCAAAGCCGCAGGCCGCAACGAAAGUGAACCUACGUGUAGCCUCGUUAAUUUAUUGGAGGCGCCGACCCUGUGGACGUAAGGGGAAGGCCGCUGCUCAUCGACAUAAAUAACGGAAGCAAUCGGUGAGACCUUCCGGGGUAGCAGGGGU